This 216-nucleotide ribosomal RNA is filed under the name Glomeromycotina sp. RNAcentral describes it as "partial small subunit ribosomal RNA". The stretch from base 40 to 216 matches the Rfam family "Eukaryotic small subunit ribosomal RNA", at positions 686 to 864 of the family's 1831-position model. The record is from RNAcentral. Lineage: Eukaryota; Fungi; Glomeromycota.
GGGUCAGUAGGUUGGUCGUGCCACCGGUACGUACUGGUCUCACUGAUUCCUCCUUCCUGAAGAACCGUAAUGCCAUUAAUUUGGUGUUGCGGGGAAACAGGACUGUUACUUUGAAAAAAUUAGAGUGUUUAAAGCAAGCUAACGCUUGAAUACAUUAGCACGGAAUAAUGAAAUAGGACUAUCGAUCCUAUUUUGUUGGUUUCUAGGAUUGACGUA